RNAcentral lists this ribosomal RNA (422 nucleotides) under uncultured bacterium. Its description in RNAcentral is "bacterial SSU rRNA". It matches the Rfam family "Bacterial small subunit ribosomal RNA", at positions 355 to 774 of the family's 1533-position model. The record is from RNAcentral.
UAAGGAAUAUUGGACAAUGGAGGCAACUCUGAUCCAGCCAUGCCGCAUGAAGGAAUAAGGCCCUAUGGGUUGUAAACUUCUUUUAGACGGGACAAAACCCCUUUACGUGUAAAGGGUUGAUGGUACUGUCAGAAUAAGCAUCGGCUAACUUCGUGCCAGCAGCCGCGGUAAUACGAAGGAUGCAAGCGUUAUCCGGAAUUAUUGGGUUUAAAGGGUGCGUAGGCGGACUAAUAAGUCAGUGGUGAAAGCCUGCAGCUUAACUGCAGAAUUGCCAUUGAUACUGUUAGUCUUGAGUACAGUUGAGGUAGGCGGAAUGUGUCAUGUAGCGGUGAAAUGCUUAGAUAUGACACAGAACACCGAUUGCGAAGGCAGCUUGCUAAGCUGUAACUGACGCUGAGGCACGAAAGCGUGGGGAGCAAACA